UGCUGUCUGCUCGUUGCUAGGCUGGCUCACUUCAACAGUUUUGCCAAUAUCUCCUGAACAAAUUAUUAUCAACAAUCUAAAUUCUGAUUUAUCAAUAAAACGAUCGUUAGUAAUUUAAAAAAUUGAACGAAAAUUGUUCACAAUACUAUUGCUCUAAUCGCUUAUUCGAACAUCUCUAACUGACACAACCUAGAGAAAUUAUUUUGUACUCAUGGUUACAUUUGCAUGCACGUGUGCGUUGAAAUAGUAACUAGUUACCUUUCUUCUAGCGUUUUUAAACCUCUAACAAGCAUAGGUCUUUUCGAAUAAACGUGGAGAUUCUGCUUUGUGUUUGUUGAAAAGGCAAAUUGAACGAUCUUGAACCAUAAUGAGGUGAAUUUCGACUGUAAAAAAUUACGUGGAGUACACUCAACAAAUGGUUAUUCUUCUCUUCUGGAUUGAAAACUACAAGCGGCGAUACUUUACUUUGAAUAAGAAAUUCCUGAAAUACUUCUUGAGAAUCUAAUUCUUACAGCAUUCGCGGCUGCUCCCGUACCGCCGAGUUCAUCCAUGGAAACAGAUGAUCCGCAACUUCCCGCCUGUGCUCACAUACCAAAUCAUGAUUAUGCACAUACUGGGGAUUAAACCAUUCUACUGGUCGAAGUGGAACAGGUCCGCAUGGCAUUGCUGCGAGUACGUUAGGACUAGAAUGUCCAGGAACAGGUGGUCCGACCAACAUGACAGGAUACUCGUAGUAAUAUCCAGUAACUUGAUCGUAGAAACCUCCAUAUGCAAAUUGAGCUGCUCCCUCCGGGACAAUGGCAAACUCACCACCGUAGCCACCAUCCAAUAACUGCUGAUCCUCCGCCGUCUCGCUACCAUCUGUGAAAAAUUGUCUGGAUACUGACAACAUUUUAGCAGUGGAAUGUGCAGCGGACUGGCUUUCGUUGGUUGAUGGAGUAGUAGUCGCGCUAGUUGCGCUAGUGCUUGCAGUACUGGCCAAGGGUUUCUUGCGAGAAAGGUAGCCCUUUUUGAAAAGAACAUCCUGCCUGGGUGUCGUUAUUCUCAUGUAUUCCUCUGUUUGAUUACAAUUCCGAGAUUAGUUUCGAUUCUAAAUUCCAUUAAACCAUGUGCAUGAAAUAUAAAUUAGCCUGCCUUCAUUGAAAACAAUCUUUGGUUUUGUAGGGUCCUCAUCAUUUUUAGCUUGAGUGGAUUUGGAUUGGCCGUUGUAGAGAGAACCAUAUCCAUAUCCAUAAGUAUUUGUUGCAUUGUUAUAUGGUCGGGUGCGUUUAUAUGAUGAAUAACCACUCUGCACACUCCGAUCACCCCUUGCAGAUCUGAUUCCAUUUUCUAACUGGUAUCCUUUGCGCACUUCUUCUUCUUCGUCUUCUUCUCCCGGUGGAGCUGAAAACAAAAUAUGUAAUAUUUGGUUAAUAGAAUAAUUGAGAUUGAAAAUGCACAUCUCAAGAAAUAAUGCCUUCAUUGCUUAAGGCAAAUAUAUAUCCAGCCACGUAAUAAAUAAGUAUGAUGAUGCACAAAUACAAUCAAGCUCAAAAAAAUAAGAAGAUCUUUUAGAUAGAAGGUGAGCAAAUUCAACAAUUUUGAAUUCCCAGACAAAUUUGAUGUUAUAUCAGACAUUUAAAAAUCAUAAUUGACAAUAAGAUAAUGCUCAUGUGGAUUGCUCGUACCAUCUUGGUACCUUGCUAUUAGUAAAGCAUGAUUGGAGGAGCCAAUAACAUGGGAAAUUCUUCGUUGACGACGCCACUGCAUUUCUAAUGUUGGUUCGAAUCAGUUUCAACUUUUCACAAUUUAUUAGUUCCGCAAACGUAGUACAUAUUGUUGAAAUAGAUAAUUACUGUUUACUCAAAUUUCAUUAUUCGGAUGUUUUGUCACACUCUAAACUCUGUAAGAUCUCAUUUUCUGAAUUAAAUGUAUUUGUUUUCCGUCUGUCGAAUAUUCAAAGAGGAGUCAACUUCUGGUCGAUGAUUAAUUAAAAUAUCCAACAUUCAAUCUACAAAUUCUCUCAUUAAUAUUACGGUAUUAUUACAUUUUUUUAAAUGAUUAGUGUCAAUUAUAUGAAUGCCACCUGCGUUUAUGAAAGAAAAAAACUGGCACUUCAAGAAACAGCGAAAGCGGAUUGCAUUAGGCGGUAUUUACUGUACAAAAACAGAUUUAUUUGCAGAUCAUUAUCAUCGGCUAAUAUCGUGUUAGGCAAUUUGUAUAUGUAUUUCACAAUACUCCUAAUAAUGUGUUUGAAAAAGUUCUUUCAUCUCGUGAAUUGGUAUCGGUAUUUUGGCAGAGUAAAGCAAAGAAGUUCACAAUUAUUUAUAUCGUUUACAUAUAUGACCGUUUUGUUAUAUUGUUGCAUUGGUAAUUUUCAAACAUGUCAAUGAUCGAUGAAUCAACUAUACGACACAGCACUUCCUUUCUUUCACACACGGAGCUCAACGUUCAUCUACUUAGAAUUUUCGGUUAAGCUGUAGCCGGUGGGUUGUCUGUCAGCCCGGAACUAUUCUAGUACUAGAAUAGUACAAAAAUAACAAGCUGGGAAAUGAGAAUAAGGGGUGCCAAGAAAGUCGAAGAGGAGAGAAGCGAAGGGGCUUGGAGAAAAAUAAAGUAGAAAGAAUUGGCAUUGGCUCCUAGCACAGCAAAGGAUGAAUAAGAACCUGCGUUGUUGUAAUAAAAACGGGGUUCAUGUUUCUCUGGGUCCUGAUUAUGAAGCAGACUCUAAUAGUGCUAAUUGUCAACAUCCACUUAAAUCUAUUACGGGGUCUCAUGUGGAACUGGCGACUCUAAGAUGGACCAAAUUCAUAUUUGUAAAACCGUUCAGUUGAGGAAUGGUGGAGGUAUCCGUUAAUCAUGUUCAUUAUUUGAUUGUGUGAUCCGGAUAAAAAAUAUCUGAGAAGUUCGUUAGAAAAAGCACCUCGACAACAGACUUUUUGGCAGAUACAGUUAGUGUGUAACAAUUUAUUACGUCCUUGCAAUCACAAAAAUACUGUCUCAAAAUCUGGCGUAUAAAAUAUUCAGGAUAUCAGUCAACGCAAAAAUUUUCUGUUACGUAUCGAUUGAAAUAUUUAAAUUACCUUUCAUUCAUUCAGUAUUUUAAAUCUCAUGAAUUUCUUUUGCAUUAUAUAAUUUUUACAUGCAUACACACGAACGUAUAAUUUUUUUUAUAACUUCUAUCAGACGUUCAUUACAAUUUGAGUAUAUGUAUAGUAACACCAAUUUACAAGAUGUAAAUUUGUCAAAUGUUACCCUCUUUCUAAUCCAGCCGAAAGUCGCUAAGAAAAAAUAAAUUCUGCUCUAAAAACAGCCGGUAUCACCGACGACCGAUUAACCAAUCAUAAAUAAUAUACAAUUAUUAACUUUAGAAAAUAAGUUACGAAAUAGUUGCAGCUCCAAAAAAUACACACUUUUGCCUUCUCUUUUCUGGAAAGUAUCUAUCAAGUAUACGAUGAGAUUAUCAUCUCAUUAUAAAACCGGUAUUAUAUUCUCUUAUGCCGGUUUGAUCAAUACAUAAACUGUAUAUAUGUAUAUUUGUACAAUGUGUGUAUAAAAUGCUCGACUGCAUAGGUAUAGUAUGUAGGGAAUAAAAUCAAUUUACUCAUAUAAAAUUUAAAUACUAUCGUAUUAAAAUGGCAAAUGGGGUUACUGGAUGAGACUGAGAAAAAUCGAGAAAUUGCGAAGCUAUUCGUAUAGAUCUGGCUCCUUUGAGAACUUAUGUACUUAUUAUGAACACAUACAAUACACAUAUCUGAAUACCCAAUAUGUAUAUGUUAGUAUUUCAUGCGGUAUAUGCGGCUACUAACAAUAAGUGGUUGUAUGAUUUAUAUAAUUUACCACCGUUUAACAACUACUUCAAUAGGAAAUAUGAGACAGAGAAAGGAGAAAGAGAGAAAUAAAGAAAAUAGUGGCGAAGCAAAGGUGGACUAGGAAGAGUGUUGUCUGAGGAGGUUGAUCUGGUCCUAAUUUACUCCAAAUAUGAAUUGCAAUAAAACCGUCGAAAAAACUGAACAAUGAUGACUAAACAUAUGAUCAUACUGCGCGCAGAACCAAACGAUUCAAGAAACACCACAUAAUCUACACACGAGUAAAUCUUUAAACAAUACAUCUGACACAUACAAAUAAUCCAUCGAGCGCCACCAACACACACAGACACAUCACUACAUAGAGAAUAUAGGAAACAUCACUGCGUAAUGGCUACACCAAUUCCCACAUCGACAACAUACACGUACAGACGGAUACAGCUGUACAGAAGACAUAUCUUUUUUAUAAAAUAAAUAAAAGAGCUAGCUCAAAAUAUACUCUUAUAAUCGGACAUUCAAGUUUUUAAAUAUAUCGUAAUAAGAUAUUUGUUAUUUAUUACCCAAUAUUUUUCCUAAAAUAAGCUAAAAAUUUCAAUUAAUUAGAGACACAGGCCAGCGAAAUGGCCCGAAAAUGAUCAUUUUUACAAUGGUAAAAAAAAAAAUUUCCAUACGCAUAAUAAUGUUCAGAUUACAUAGUUUACAACAAUUAUAUAGGAUAGCGUUAAAAUACGAAUAGGUAUACAGUUAUAAAUCCGAAUUCAAAUCUCCGGUUAAUAAUAUUCUUCCAUCUUUCUCUCUCGCUCUCUCGCUUUCUCUCUCUGUCUUUCUCUCUUGCUAUUUCAUUCUUGAUCCACACACUGAUCAUCGGCGGAGGUAUCGGGCAUGUACUAGAUGUGGAAAACGAAGCCGAGUAUCGAACCCGCUACAAAACUGGGAGGGAUUCGCGCUUGCGCUCGCGAAAAUCAACCCCUCGAGUUCAAUUUCCUCUGGGUAUUGCUACCCGGAUUUCGAAAUAUAUGUAUAAUAUCUACGACGAUCCGUAGCUCCUAUACACAUAUAAUCCGAUUUAUACAACGUGUUUUAAAAAUAUCUGGCGAUGAUUGUUCGAUUUUUCGUGUUGCCAGGGCUAUUCAAAUUUCGAAAUUUAGUAUGGUCGUCCGACGUGGCGAACUGAAAUAUUCGAAAACCGCCUCGAACCGUUUCAAUCCGUGAUUAAUUUCCAAAUAAAUUCACCGCUUUUUGAUCUGCACAUAUUUUUUGAACCACAAAGUUUGUAAAAAAAUAUCACCAUAAUUAUAAUAUACUGAUGUUAUAACGUAGAUCUUUUUCUUCAUCCCGCCGUAUAUACGGGUGAUUCUAACGCGGCGGCGCGUUAGGUUCUAACAUUUGUUGUUACGUAAUUUUUUGUUCUGAACUCUAGAUUCUAUACCUGCUGGUAUAAUACCGUUGAAUAGUUUAUCUAACGUUCGCUAUCACAUUAAAAACAAAAAAAAAAAAAACGUUACUAUCAUAGAUAUAUUAAACUAUAAUACAUGACAUUAAAUAUGGUUCAAUAUAUCUAGACUAUUACACUUCGUUUAGUAAGCUGUUCAACUCAACCAUCGUUAAUCGAUCAUAAACAAACACAUUCGUUUUCUUAAUUACGACUAAAUACAUUCGUACAUCUAAGAUAGGUCUUUGAAAAUUCAAACUAAGUUAUAGCGUCUCUAAAAAUUUUGAACCACCGAUAUGUGGGCAACGGCGUAAUCUUUUAUUUUAUUUUUACUUUCUCAGUAUCAAAUUAUAAUCGCUUUACAAACACAUACUUCCGGUACAAGACAACCUUUUUUUUCCUUUCUCGUCUCUACAUAUACCUGCGUCGGACGUGCGUUUCAAGUCCAAAAAAAUAUAUGUACAUACACUUUCCAUAACAUAAGGCACCCGUUUUUUGUUUUUUGUUUGUUUUUUUUUAUCUUUACUAUUCAUAAAAUUAUCUUAUAGUGUCUAGGUAGUUUCAUUAUUCAAUUUAUAAGUAUAAUGCAGCAUUUUUAUCGAAUUCAACUACAAGGCAAAGAAAUGAACGAUUUAAAGUACACGCAACGGCCGUUCAUUUUACGCCUUCAAAGCAUUACAGGUAUAGUAUAACUUGAAGUUCUUCAUCUUCGUAUCGAAUUACAAAUUUGACCCUUUAUAGUUUAACACAUCCCUAGGCGUCCCCCGUGCACGUCCACAUGCAGUUGCAAAGUCGCACUGCUUAACUUCGACGGACUUCAUCAUGUCAAAUCGAGCAAAUUUACCAUUUCUUUUUCCAUUCAUUUUUUUCCACUCUAUCUAAUGCAGGCUGGAACGAAUUCGCACCUGUGUUCAAUCAAAUGGUUAACUGGGAAGUAUUAGAUGCGACAAGUAGAUUUUUUUUUUAUUAGAUUUUUCUAGUCUAUAUUUCUUCUUUUCCACGUAUUGUACAUAUCUAGUACAUCGCAUCCUGUUUCUAUAAUACAUACAGUAUAAUAUACAUAUACGUGCGUACAUACAUAUACCUCUACUUGCAACGCGUUGAAUUUUACUGGCAAAUUAUUUCCUACUUAUGCGAUGUAAAAGUUUGUCUUCACUACAAUCGUCGUUG
Long non-coding RNA from Athalia rosae (coleseed sawfly), 6387 nucleotides. RefSeq lists it as uncharacterized. Lineage: Eukaryota; Metazoa; Arthropoda; Insecta; Hymenoptera; Athaliidae. The record is from RefSeq and is a predicted model, not a curated record. The transcript is spliced from 7 exons.